ACCAACGUUAAAAAAAAACAAUGAAAAAGUGCCAUCUUAAAGAUCUGCUAUUCAUUAAAAUUUUAAAUUUGGUGCUAAGUGACCCCAUAACUUCGGAGCAAGCUGGGUGUGUCGAAGGACCAGUCUUACCUGGACAGUGGCAGCCUAAAUUGAAUAUAAGAGUCCUUCCAUCGCAGUCCGUACCUAGCUUUUCUCAACUAAACAUUGUUUGUGAUGCAAGCGCGGCAAGAAAGAUUAAAUUGCUGCUUAAAAUUACCAAAACCACCUCUACCCCUAACAAGAAUUCUCAUUAAUAUUGCAGUCUACCUGGUUAAAGAAUGUUUUUCUCCCACAAAUGUAAACCAGUGCACAUAUAAUCUGACAGCAUUCUUUCAAGGCAUACCACCAAGAAUCAGUUGUACUGCUUUUGAUGCUACUGGAUAUUGCAGAUUUCAAAUAGUUAAUGUCAGCCUUGUAGAAAAUAAGCUUGUUAGUACAAUAUGUAAAUAUUAAAAUUUUCAUAAAAUUUGCAAUUAAGGGUGCAAAUCUUUUUUGAAAAGUGCAGAGAGUGUCGAUUAGCUAUACAGUUCAUAGUUUGUUGAUAGUUUAACUAUCAUACUGCAGUUAUGUGCAUCUUGGUUGAGAAUAAAUCAUUUAAUCGCCGAGAGAUUAAAUCAAUAUUUAAGUAAAAA
Molecule: long non-coding RNA, 671 nt
Organism: Xenia sp. Carnegie-2017
Lineage: Eukaryota; Metazoa; Cnidaria; Anthozoa; Malacalcyonacea; Xeniidae
Exons: 2
Source: RefSeq, a predicted model, not a curated record